UUGGAGGGCAAGUCUGGUGCCAGCAGCCGCGGUAAUUCCAGCUCCAAUAGCGUAUAUUAAAGUUGUUGCAGUUAAAAAGCUCGUAGUUGAAUUUCGGGAUUAGUACGCUGGUCGUGCCUUCGGUACGUACUGGUGUUACUGAUUUCUACCUUCUGACGAACCAUCAUGUCAUUAAUUUGGUGUGGUGGGGAAUCAGGACUGUUACUUUGAAAAAAUUAGAGUGUUUAAAGCAGGCUCGCGCUUGAAUACAUUAGCAUGGAAUAAUGAAAUAGGACGUUGAUCCUAUUUUGUUGGUUUCUAGGAUUGACGUAAUGAUUAAUAGGGAUAGUCGGGGGCAUUAGUAUUCAAUUGUCAGAGGUGAAAUUCUUGGAUUUAUUGAAGACUAACUACUGCGAAAGCAUUUGCCAAGGAUGUUUUCAUUAAUCAAGAACGAAAGUUAGGGGAUCGAAGACGAUCAGAUACCGUCGUAGUCUUAACCAUAAACUAUGCCGACUAGGGAUCGGAUGAUGUUAUUUUUAAUGACUCAUUCGGCGCCUUACGGGAAAC
Molecule: ribosomal RNA, 546 nt
Filed under: uncultured Glomeromycotina
Lineage: Eukaryota; Fungi; Glomeromycota
Description: SSU rRNA
Rfam family: Eukaryotic small subunit ribosomal RNA
Source: RNAcentral